CCAUCUAUCUGUUGAUUAUGUGGCGC
Molecule: non-coding RNA, 26 nt
Filed under: Cricetulus griseus (Chinese hamster)
Lineage: Eukaryota; Metazoa; Chordata; Mammalia; Rodentia; Cricetidae
Source: RNAcentral